AUUUCUCUUUCUCUCUCCAAAUGUACCGUACCCUCUCAUCCUCUUUCUCUCUCAAUUUUCUUCAUCAUCCUCCAUUGAUGAUCAUAUACAAAGCUUCAUAGAUCAUUUCUAUACCAUAAGCUUCCAUUAAAACGAGCUCUAAACAGCUAUACACUUCAAAUCAAGAGCAACUAUGGAAGGUUUUUAAAGCUUGAAGUCAAGAGGAUAUUUUCAUUUUCUACUCGAAAAUCAUUGAAUAUGAGCAGAGGACGGAAGUGAGCCCACCCCGAGAGCUACGAGAGUAAGAUAAAGCCAUCAUGUGGGCAUUAUUUUUACUAUAUGUAUAUAGAGAUCCCCUGCGUAUCGUAGGACUCUUAUACGAAAUGAAGUAAAUGACAUGAGUUAACUGAUAAAUUUUAGUUUGAUGAAAAUUAUUACUGUUGAUAAUGUUUAUGAGUAUGAUAAAUAAUUUGAGAUUUAUUGAUGUUGAACUAAUUGACUUGCCGAGUUUUGAUGACGAUGAGCCUGUAUGUCGCCCUCUACUGAUGAGACGAAUUCGGGUCCUACCGCAAGCGGGAUUGUGUAUGCAGAGGUGACCAUGAGCCGUCUCUCGGGUCGGCUGGUCAGAGGUGAUUGUGAGAUGUCCUUCGGGUCGGCCGGUCACGGUACUUGAGAAGGAGGCCUACUUCUCAGUACCUUAAAUGAUGAUGAUUUGUAGAUGUGGAUAAGCGAUGAGGGAGAUUGGACUAGUGCUGGCAGGGAUUUUAUUUCGGUUGAUCUUCCUUAUACCGUAAUUAUAUUCCUUGCGGUAACAUCAAGAUGUUGAAGUUUAUUUGGACUUAUUCAAAAAAUUCACUCUCGGCUAUAUGUCUUCAUACAUAUAGUCUGUUCGCAUUUUGCUGCGAUACUCUGUAUAUCCUGAGUCUUUGUCAGUAAUUAGCUAUAGCCGCUUUGUAAAUGUUGACGAGAAUCCCGAUAUUUUUGAAUUUAUGAAGCCAAUAAUAUUUUUAUUGA
Molecule: long non-coding RNA, 993 nt
Organism: Salvia miltiorrhiza (redroot sage)
Lineage: Eukaryota; Viridiplantae; Streptophyta; Magnoliopsida; Lamiales; Lamiaceae
Exons: 3
Source: RefSeq, a predicted model, not a curated record